RNAcentral lists this ribosomal RNA (169 nucleotides) under uncultured bacterium. RNAcentral's name for it is "partial 16S ribosomal RNA". It matches the Rfam family "Bacterial small subunit ribosomal RNA", at positions 335 to 516 of the family's 1533-position model. The record is from RNAcentral. RNAcentral also lists the same sequence under 1 other name.
ACUCCUACGGGAGGCAGCAGUGGGGAAUAUUGCACAAUGGGCGAAAGCCUGAUGCAGCAACGCCGCGUGAGGGAUGACGGCCUUCGGGUUGUAAACCUCUUUUAGCAGGGAAGAAGCGAAAGUGACGGUACCUGCAGAAAAAGCGCCGGCUAACUACGUGCCAGCAGCC